This 253-nucleotide ribosomal RNA is filed under the name uncultured bacterium. RNAcentral describes it as "partial 16S ribosomal RNA". It matches the Rfam family "Bacterial small subunit ribosomal RNA", at positions 524 to 776 of the family's 1533-position model. The record is from RNAcentral.
UACGGGGGGGGCAAGCGUCGUUCGGAAUUACUGGGCGUAAAGGGCUCGUAGGCGGCCAACUAAGUCAGACGUGAAAUCCCUCGGCUUAACCGAGGAACUGCCCUCCAAACUGCUUCGCUUGAGACCGGGAGAGGUGAGUGGAAUUCCCAGUGUAGCGGUGAAAUGCGUAGAUAUUGGGAGGAACACCAGUGGCGAAGGCGGCUCACUGGACCGGUACUGACGCUGAUGCGCGAAAGCGUGGGGAGCAAACGGG